RNAcentral lists this ribosomal RNA (252 nucleotides) under Triticum aestivum (bread wheat). RNAcentral's name for it is "partial small subunit ribosomal RNA". The record is from RNAcentral. Lineage: Eukaryota; Viridiplantae; Streptophyta; Magnoliopsida; Poales; Poaceae.
AUGGCCAUGGGUAUGCCCUCGUGCGACUGGCGGCUGAGGUGCUGCCCCACGCACAGGCGACUCGGAGGCCGCGGCUUCCCCCCCUACGACGGUGGCUCAGCGCGGCGGCCUCCCAGGCUCCCAGCUGCCCCUCACGCAACAACGACUUGGUGGCCGCGAGGCUUUCCCGCGCGACAGUUUCUGGAUGGCAGUGACGAUGCCCUCACGCGACGACGUCGGCAACUCGCUGAAUUCUGCACCCCUAAGCUUUGA